Molecule: ribosomal RNA, 556 nt
Filed under: Vibrio sp. HR08-11
Lineage: Bacteria; Pseudomonadati; Pseudomonadota; Gammaproteobacteria; Vibrionales; Vibrionaceae
Description: bacterial SSU rRNA
Rfam family: Bacterial small subunit ribosomal RNA
Source: RNAcentral
ACGGGUGAGUAAUGCCUAGGAAAUUGCCCUGAUGUGGGGGAUAACCAUUGGAAACGAUGGCUAAUACCGCAUAAUGCCUACGGGCCAAAGAGGGGGACCUUCGGGCCUCUCGCGUCAGGAUAUGCCUAGGUGGGAUUAGCUAGUUGGUGAGGUAAUGGCUCACCAAGGCGACGAUCCCUAGCUGGUCUGAGAGGAUGAUCAGCCACACUGGAACUGANACACGGUCCAGACUCCUACGGGAGGCAGCAGUGGGGAAUAUUGCACAAUGGGCGCAAGCCUGAUGCAGCCAUGCCGCGUGUGUGAAGAAGGCCUUCGGGUUGUAAAGCACUUUCAGUCGUGAGGAAGGUAGUGUAGUUAAUAGCUGCAUUAUUUGACGUUAGCGACAGAAGAAGCACCGGCUAACUCCGUGCCAGCAGCCGCGGUAAUACGGAGGGUGCGAGCGUUAAUCGNANUUACUGGNCGUANAGCGCAUGCAGGUGGUUUGUUNAAGUCAGAUGUGAAAGCCCGGGGCUCAACCUCGGAAUUGCAUUUGAAACUGGCANACUANAGUACUGUA